RNAcentral lists this ribosomal RNA (707 nucleotides) under uncultured rumen protozoa. Its description in RNAcentral is "bacterial SSU rRNA". It matches the Rfam family "Eukaryotic small subunit ribosomal RNA", at positions 1004 to 1831 of the family's 1831-position model. The record is from RNAcentral.
ACAAUCAGAACGUUGUAUUCACUAUAACUAGCGACUAGGAUGAAUGAGAUAACCAUUCAGUACUAAGAGGAAUCAAGUCUUGGUUCGGGGGAGUAUGUCGCAAGCUGAAACUAAGAAUUGACGAAAGGCGCGGCGAGGAGUGGAGCUGCGCUCAUUUGACUCAACACGGGGAACUAACAGAUACAGAGAUAGUAAGGAUGACAGAUGAAAGCUCUUCUGCUCUCCCCCUGUGCUGACCGUCUAGUUGGUGGAGUGAUUGUCUGGUUAAUUCCGAUAACGAACGAGACCUUAACUGCUAACUAGUCUUUCUAUUCCGAUAGACAUUGACUUCUUAGAGGGACUAUGUGCUCUAAACAGUAGAGAAAAAUGAGGCAAUAACAGGUCUGUGAUGCCCUUAUAUGCCCUGGGCUGCACGCGUGCUACACUGAUGCAUACAACAAGUCCCAAGCCAGUCAUGGCAUGGUAAUCUCUAAUAUGCAUCGUGAUGGGGAUUGAUCUUUGCAAUUAUAGAUCAUGAACGAGGAAUUCCUAGUAAGUGCAAGUCAUCAUCUUGCAUUGAUUAUGUCCCUGCCCUUUGUACACACCGCCUGUCGCUCCUACCGAUACCGGGUGAUCCGGUGAACCUGUGGACCCAAGGGAAAAACAAGUCUUUCUUAUCCUUAAGGAAGGAGAAGUCGAACAAGUAUUCCGAUCCCCGGAGAGGACCU